UACGUAGGGGGCUAGCGUUGUCCGGAAUCAUUGGGCGUAAAGAGCGUGUAGGCGGUCCGGUAAGUCCGCUGUGAAAGUCGGGGGCUCAACCCUCGAAUGCCGGUGGAUACUGUCGGGCUAGAGUUCGGAAGAGGCGAGUGGAAUUCCUGGUGUAGCGGUGAAAUGCGCAGAUAUCAGGAGGAACACCUAUUGCGAAGGCAGCUCGCUGGGACGUAACUGACGCUGAGACGCGAAAGCGUGGGGAGCAAACAGG
RNAcentral lists this ribosomal RNA (253 nucleotides) under uncultured bacterium. RNAcentral describes it as "partial 16S ribosomal RNA". It matches the Rfam family "Bacterial small subunit ribosomal RNA", at positions 524 to 776 of the family's 1533-position model. The record is from RNAcentral.